RNAcentral lists this ribosomal RNA (500 nucleotides) under uncultured bacterium. RNAcentral's name for it is "partial 16S ribosomal RNA". It matches the Rfam family "Bacterial small subunit ribosomal RNA", at positions 29 to 523 of the family's 1533-position model. The record is from RNAcentral.
AUUGAACGCUGGCGGCAUGCCUUACACAUGCAAGUCGAGCGGCAGCGCGGGGGCAACCCUGGCGGCGAGCGGCGAACGGGUGAGUAAUACAUCGGAACGUGUCCUGUCGUGGGGGAUAACCAGUCGAAAGACUGGCUAAUACCGCAUGAGAUCGAAAGAUGAAAGCGGGGGACCGCAAGGCCUCGCGCGAUUGGAGCGGCCGAUGUCGGAUUAGCUAGUUGGCGGGGUAAAAGCCCACCAAGGCGACGAUCCGUAGCUGGUUUGAGAGAACGACCAGCCACACAGGGACUGAGACACGGCCCAGACUCCUACGGGAGGCAGCAGUGGGGAAUUUUGGACAAUGGGGGCAACCCUGAUCCAGCCAUGCCGCGUGUGUGAAGAAGGCCUUCGGGUUGUAAAGCACUUUCGGCCGGAACGAAAUCGCGCGGGCUAUUACCCCGCGUGGAUGACGGUACCGGAAGAAGAAGCACCGGCUAACUACGUGCCAGCCGCCGCCGUAA